UCCUCUGUAGUUCAGUCGGUAGAACGGCGGACUGUUAAUCCGAAUGUCACUGGUUCGAGUCCAGUCAGAGGAGCCA
RNAcentral lists this transfer RNA (76 nucleotides) under Escherichia coli. RNAcentral describes it as "tRNA-Asn". It matches the Rfam family "tRNA". From Rfam's summary of the family: Transfer RNA (tRNA) molecules are approximately 80 nucleotides in length. Their secondary structure includes four short double-helical elements and three loops (D, anti-codon, and T loops). Lineage: Bacteria; Pseudomonadati; Pseudomonadota; Gammaproteobacteria; Enterobacterales; Enterobacteriaceae. The record is from RNAcentral.